UCCGAGUUGACCCCGGCAGUCUCCUAUGAGUCCCCACCAUCCCAAAGGACGUGCUGGCAACAUAGGACGAGGGUUGCGCUCGUUGCGGGACUUAACCCAACAUCUCACGACACGAGCUGACGACAGCCAUGCACCACCUGUCACCGGCCCAAAAAGGACCCCGCAUCUCUGCGAGUUUUCCGGCGAUGUCAAGCCUUGGUAAGGUUCUUCGCGUUGCAUCGAAUUAAUCCGCAUGCUCCGCCACUUGUGCGGGCCCCCGUCAAUUCUUUUGAGUUUUAGCCUUGCGGCCGUACUCCCCAGGCGGAACACUUAUCGCGUUGGCUUCGGCACAGACAGAUUCGACUCCGCCCACACCUAGUGUUCAUCGUUUACGGCGUGGACUAC
Molecule: unclassified non-coding RNA, 384 nt
Filed under: uncultured Actinomycetes bacterium
Lineage: Bacteria; Bacillati; Actinomycetota; Actinomycetes
Description: uncultured actinobacterium contains 16S-23S intergenic spacer region
Source: RNAcentral